RNAcentral lists this ribosomal RNA (256 nucleotides) under uncultured bacterium. RNAcentral describes it as "partial 16S ribosomal RNA". It matches the Rfam family "Bacterial small subunit ribosomal RNA", at positions 521 to 776 of the family's 1533-position model. The record is from RNAcentral.
UAAUACGUAGGGAGCGAGCGUUGUCCGAAUUCACUGGGCGUAAAGCGCGCGUAGGCGGGUUUUUAAGUUGGGGGUGAAAUCCCGGAGCUCAACUCCGGAACUGCCUCCAAAACUGGAAGCCUUGAGGUAUGGAGAGGGAAGUGGAAUUCCUGGUGUAGCGGUGAAAUGCGUAGAUAUCAGGAGGAACACCCGUGGCGAAGGCGGCUUCCUGGCCAUAUCCUGACGCUGAGGUGCGAAAGCUAGGGGAGCGAACGGG